Molecule: ribosomal RNA, 468 nt
Filed under: uncultured bacterium
Lineage: Bacteria
Description: partial 16S ribosomal RNA
Rfam family: Bacterial small subunit ribosomal RNA
Source: RNAcentral
GACGAACGCUGGCGGCGUGCUUAACACAUGCAAGUCGAACGGAAAGGCCCGGCUUUUGUGGGGUGCUCGAGUGGCGAACGGGGGAGUAACACGUGAGUAACCUGCCCUUGACUGUGGGAUAACUUCAGGAAACUGGGGCGAAUACCGGAUAUGAGCUCCUGCUGCAUGGUGGGGGUUGGAAAGUUCCGGCGGUGGUGGAUGGACUCGCGGCUUAUCAGCUUGUUGGUGGGGUAGGUGCUGACCAAGGCUUUGAGGGGUAGCCGGCCUUGGAGGGUGGCCGGCCACCUUGGGCCUGCGAUACGGCCCAGACUCCUACGGGCGGCAGCGGUGGGGAGCCUUGCAGAAUGGGCGGACGCCUGAUGCAGCGACGCCCCGUGCGUGAUGACGGCCUUCGGGUUGUAAACCACUUUCGCCUGUGCCGAAGAGUGAGUGACGGUAAUGGGUAAAGAAGCACCGGCUAACUACGUG